Non-coding RNA from Acanthosepion pharaonis, 114 nucleotides. The record is from the annotation of a GenBank genome assembly. NCBI's taxonomy places the organism in Eukaryota, Metazoa, Mollusca, Cephalopoda, Sepiida, Sepiidae.
UUAUGGCCAUAUCAAGUUGAAACACUGAUUCCUGUACAAUCAUCGAAGUUAAGCAAUAUCGAGCUGGAUCAGUACCCAGAUGGGUGACUGCUUGGGAAUACCAGGUGGUGUAAU